CCUACGGGAGGCAGCAGUGGGGGAUAUUGCACAAUGGGGGGAACCCUGAUGCAGCGACGCCGCGUGGGUGAAGGAGCGUUUCGGCGCGUAAAGCCCUGUCGGCAGGGAAGAAGAUGACGGUACCUGACCAAGAAGCCCCGGCUAACUACGUGCCAGCAGCCGCGGUAAAACGGAGGGGGCGAGCGUUAGCCGGAUUUACUGGGUGUAAAGGGGGCGCAGACGGCAAUGCGAGCCAGGAGUGAAAGCCCCGGGCCCAACCCCGGGAUUGCUCUUGGAACUGCAUGGCUGGAGUACAGGAGGGGCAGGCGGAAUUCCUAGUGUAGCGGUGAAAUGCGUAGAUAUUAGGAGGAACACCGGUGGCGAAGGCGGCCUUCUGGACUGUGACUGACGUUGAGGCCCGAAGGCGUGGGGAGCAAACAGGAUUAGAUACCCCGGUAGUC
This 440-nucleotide ribosomal RNA is filed under the name uncultured bacterium. RNAcentral's name for it is "partial 16S ribosomal RNA". It matches the Rfam family "Bacterial small subunit ribosomal RNA", at positions 338 to 795 of the family's 1533-position model. The record is from RNAcentral.